Molecule: transfer RNA, 81 nt
Filed under: bacterium
Lineage: Bacteria
Description: tRNA-Leu
Rfam family: tRNA
About the family: Transfer RNA (tRNA) molecules are approximately 80 nucleotides in length. Their secondary structure includes four short double-helical elements and three loops (D, anti-codon, and T loops).
Source: RNAcentral
GGGCACGUGGCGGAACGGUAUACGCGUACGGUUCAGAACCGUAUGGGGAAACCCUUGGAGGUUCAAAUCCUCUCGUGCCCA